UUCAUAGACUGCUCACAUUAGGCAGUAGUCAGUCCACGUCAGCACACAGCAUGGACAUGAGGACCCUUGCUCAGCUCCUGGGGAUCCUGCUGCUCUGGCUUGCAGGUGCCAAGUGUGAUAUCCAGAUGACCCAGUCUCCAUCUUCACUAUCUGUGUCUCUAGGAGACACUGCCACCAUCACUUGCAGGGCCAGUGAGGAUAUUGAGUAUUAUUUAGCCUGGUACCAGCAGCAACCAGGGAAAGCUCCUAAACCCUUGAUCUACGGUGCAGAUAUUUUGGAGUCCGGAGUUCCAUCAAGGUUCAGUGGGAGUCAAUCUGGGACAGAGUUCACUCUCAGGAUCAGUGGCCUGGAGCCCGAAGAUGUUGCCACUUAUUACUGUCAACAGUGUAGCAGUUUCCCUCCCACAUUCACUCUCGCCAUCAGCAGCCUGCAGCCUGAAGAUGCGGCAACAUAUUUCUGUCAACACAGUGAUAGUUUACCUCCCACAGUGACAGAAGUCAUAACAAAAACCUCCCAGAGAAGCAGAACUGCCAUGGGCUCUCAGAAUGCAGAGCAGAGCAUAUCUUCUGAGACCCCACUCAGCUGA
Molecule: non-coding RNA, 587 nt
Organism: Dipodomys spectabilis (banner-tailed kangaroo rat)
Lineage: Eukaryota; Metazoa; Chordata; Mammalia; Rodentia; Heteromyidae
Source: the annotation of a RefSeq genome assembly